AAACGAUAGUCAUCGUGUAUCCCUCUUCCUAAUCAGCAAGAGAAAAAGAUGCACCAAAUGUACUUUAGAUAUCUCCAGUGCCUCAACGUCUUGUUAAAAGGAGCUGUGGUCAAGUGAUGGCAAGGUUAGGAGCGCGCUGGAGCAAUCUGAGGAAGAGGCCAAACAAACAUCAGAGAGUUG
This 180-nucleotide long non-coding RNA is filed under the name Struthio camelus australis. RNAcentral's name for it is "lncRNA (ENSSCUG00000017024.1)". The record is from RNAcentral. Lineage: Eukaryota; Metazoa; Chordata; Aves; Struthioniformes; Struthionidae.